This 343-nucleotide long non-coding RNA is filed under the name Pan troglodytes (chimpanzee). RNAcentral describes it as "long non-coding RNA NONPTRT014905". Lineage: Eukaryota; Metazoa; Chordata; Mammalia; Primates; Hominidae. The record is from RNAcentral.
GCCUAAAAUACCCUGACACUGAGUCUUCCCACCCUGCACAUUCCUGGCCAACCUCCUGGUGACUCAAUGCCGCAUGUCUGUCAUUGGCUGUCGUCUCAGCCACUGCUGUCCUCCUUGAAUUGCAAGUGUCCAGAGGGCAGGGACUGGAUCCCUGCAGUGCCGUCUGCAAUUCUCAGACCUGCCUUCAUUACUUCUGGUACUACCUUCUAGCUCCAUGAAGGUAGGGAGUCUGCCUCAUUCACCAAUUCCUAGAAAGGUGCCAGCGUCUAAUAGGGGCUAAAAAAUUGUUGAAUGAGAGAAUUAAUGAAUUCUAAUUUUGAGGCAUUGGUUUUGCUUUAUUUGU